Molecule: ribosomal RNA, 433 nt
Filed under: uncultured bacterium
Lineage: Bacteria
Description: partial 16S ribosomal RNA
Rfam family: Bacterial small subunit ribosomal RNA
Source: RNAcentral
AACGAACGCUGGCGGCAUGCCUAACACAUGCAAGUCGAACGAGACCUUCGGGUCUAGUGGCGCACGGGUGCGUAACGCGUGGGAACCUGCCCUUAGGUUCGGAAUAACUCCCCGAAAGGGGUGCUAAUACCGGAUAAUGUCUUCGGACCAAAGAUUUAUCGCCUUUGGAUGGGCCCGCGUUGGAUUAGCUAGUUGGUAGGGUAAAAGCCUACCAAGGCGACGAUCCAUAGCUGGUCUGAGAGGAUGAUCAGCCACACUGGGACUGGGACACGGCCCAGACUCCUACGGGAGGCAGCAGUGGGGAAUAUUGGACAAUGGGCGAAAGCCUGAGCCAGCAAGGCCGCGUGAGUGAUGAAGGCCUGAGGGUUGUAAAGCUCUUUUACCCGGGAUGAUAAUGACAGUACCGGGAGAAUAAGCGCCGGCUAACUCCGUG